This 476-nucleotide ribosomal RNA is filed under the name Klebsiella pneumoniae. RNAcentral describes it as "bacterial SSU rRNA". It matches the Rfam family "Bacterial small subunit ribosomal RNA", at positions 985 to 1459 of the family's 1533-position model. Lineage: Bacteria; Pseudomonadati; Pseudomonadota; Gammaproteobacteria; Enterobacterales; Enterobacteriaceae. The record is from RNAcentral.
CAUCCUCUGAACUUUCCAGAGAUAGAUUGUGUCCUUCGGGACCUGAGAGACAGGUGCUGCAUGGGUUGUCCUCAGCUCGUGUUGUGAAAUGUUGGGUUAAGUCCCGCAAAGAGCGCAAACCUUAUCCUUUGUUGCCAGCGGUUCGGCCGGGAAUUCAAAGGAGACUGCCAGUGAUAAACUGGAGGAAGGUGGGGAUGACGUCAAGUCAUCAUGGCCCUUUGGCCCAGGGCUACACACGUGUUCCAAUGGCAUAUACAAAGAGAAGAGGCCUCGCGAGAGCAAGCGGUCUUCAUAAAGUAUUUUGUAGUCCGGAUUGGAGUUUCCAAUUGGAUUCCAGGAAGUGGGAAUCGUUAGUAAUGGUAGAUCAGAAUGCUCCGGUGAAUACUUUCCCGGCCUUGGUACCCACCGCCCGUCACACCAUGGGAGUGGUAACCAAAGAAGUUGGGGGGGUAAACCUUUUGGGAGCGCGACGGCCC